GAGGUAGAGAGGAGAGGUAGAGAGGAGAGGUAGAGGAGGAGAGGUAGAGAGGAGAGGCGGAGUGGUAGAGAGGAGAGGUAGAGGAGGAGAGGUAGAGGAGGAGUGGUAGAGGAGGAGUGGUAGAGGAGGAGAGGUAGAGAGGAGAGGUAGAGAGGAGAGGUAGAGAGGAGAGGUAGAGAGGAGAGGUAGAGAGGAGAGGUAGAGAGGAGAGGUAGAGAGGAGAGGUAGAGAGGAGAGGUAGAGAGGAGAGGUAGAGAGGAGAGGAGAGGUAGAGAGGAGAGGU
This is a long non-coding RNA of Oncorhynchus keta (chum salmon), 283 nucleotides long. RefSeq lists it as uncharacterized. NCBI's taxonomy places the organism in Eukaryota, Metazoa, Chordata, Actinopteri, Salmoniformes, Salmonidae. The record is from RefSeq and is a predicted model, not a curated record. The transcript has 3 exons.